AUGUCGAACAUGACGGUGACCAGAUCAUCUCCGGAGGACCCUCAUGUCGCUGCCGGCGAGCAGCAGCAGCCGCAGCGGCAAGCAGCGGACAAGGCGCCUCGCACCACCGAGGAGGAGCCGGCGGAUUUUACCAAUAUUUCCCGGUACCAGAGGAACAACCCAGAGUCCGUUCCAGUCCCAAAUGGCAGCGGCAGCAGCAGUGGCAGCUCCACCACCAGGAAGCUAACAGAACACGCACCAUCAGCCACACCAAGCAUGGACGAGCGCGACGGGGCCACAGCCGUGGACGCCGACAACUCGAGCCUCGCGUCCUACCUCGCCCGCGCCUCGCUCAAGCAGCGCUGGCCAGGAGGGCGUCCGGCGUCCUCAUCCGCUGUCAUAGUGAGCGAUCACCCGCUACACAACACCUCCGUGCACUCCCCGCAGGGACUCAACCUGGGCGGCAGCCUCUACGACUUGGCAGCCCAAGCCUCCGAGGUAUCCAACAACCUCGGUGGCGCGGUCUACACCUUCGACGCCCAGGCCUCCCAGGUAUACAACAGCCUCGACGGCGGCCUCUACAACCUCGCCGCCCAGGCUACCCAGGGAGCCGACCUCGGCGCGGGCGGGCUCUACAACCUCGCCGCCCAGGCCACCCAGGGAACCAACCUCGGCGACGGCAGCAGCAGCAGCCACAUCGCCAUCGCCGCGCCGAAAGACCCCGUCCCGCUCAAGUGGGGCCACAAGAAGCGCUCGCGCGCCCGCCGUGAGCCGCACGCGCUCGCGCCCGCUCCCACUCCUGCACCCGUACCGGUGCCUACUCCUGCGCCAGCACCGGUGCCCACUCCCACCCCCGCGGCUGAGCCCCAGCUGAUCCCCGCUCAGGCGCAUUGCCGGGCCAUCUUAAGGCUGAAGAAACGCCCGGCGGCGCAAGGCUAG
RNAcentral lists this ribosomal RNA (918 nucleotides) under Triticum aestivum (bread wheat). RNAcentral's name for it is "partial small subunit ribosomal RNA". Lineage: Eukaryota; Viridiplantae; Streptophyta; Magnoliopsida; Poales; Poaceae. The record is from RNAcentral.